GACGAACGCUGGCGGCGUGCUUAACACAUGCAAGUCGAACGGAAAGGCCCUGCUUUUGUGGGGUGCUCGAGUGGCGCACGGGUGAGUAACACAUGAGUAACCUGCCCUUGACUUUGGGAUAACUUCAGGAAACUGGGGCUAAUACCGGAUAGGAGCUCCUGCUGCAUGGUGGGGGUUGGAAAGUUUCGGCGGUUGGGGAUGGACUCGCGGCUUAUCAGCUUGUUGGUGGGGUAGUGGCUUACCAAGGCUUUGACGGGUAGCCGGCCUGAGAGGGUGACCGGCCACAUUGGGACUGAGAUACGGCCCAGACUCCUACGGGAGGCAGCAGUGGGGAAUAUUGCACAAUGGGCGGAAGCCUGAUGCAGCAACGCCGCGUGCGGGAUGACGGCCUUCGGGUUGUAAACCGCUUUCGCCUGUGACGAAGCGUGAGUGACGGUAAUGGGUAAAGAAGCACCGGCUAACUACGUG
Molecule: ribosomal RNA, 468 nt
Filed under: uncultured bacterium
Lineage: Bacteria
Description: partial 16S ribosomal RNA
Rfam family: Bacterial small subunit ribosomal RNA
Source: RNAcentral